Erpetoichthys calabaricus (reedfish) is the source of this 186-nucleotide small nuclear RNA. Its record names the gene U2. It matches the Rfam family "U2 spliceosomal RNA". Rfam says of the family: U2 is a small nuclear RNA (snRNA) component of the spliceosome (involved in pre-mRNA splicing). The record is from Ensembl. NCBI's taxonomy places the organism in Eukaryota, Metazoa, Chordata, Cladistia, Polypteriformes, Polypteridae.
AAACCUUGUCUGUUAAAAAAAAAAAAAAAAAAAUCUGUUCUUAUCAAUUUAAUAUCUGGUAUGUCCCCUAUCUGGGGACCAUAUAUUAAAUUGAUUUUCGGUACAGGGAGACGAAAUAGGGGCUUUCUUCAUUCACUCCACGCAUCAACCUGGUAUUGCAGUACUUCCAGGAGCGGUGCACUUUCU